Molecule: ribosomal RNA, 253 nt
Filed under: uncultured bacterium
Lineage: Bacteria
Description: partial 16S ribosomal RNA
Rfam family: Bacterial small subunit ribosomal RNA
Source: RNAcentral
UACAGAGGGUGCGAGCGUUAUUCGGAAUUACUGGGCGUAAAGCGUACGUAGGUGGCGACGCAAGUCUGGUGUGAAAGCCCGCCGCUUAACCGGGGAAUGGCAUUGGAGACUGCAUUGCUGGAGUACGGAAGAGGAGAGUGGAAUUCCCGGUGUAGCGGUGAAAUGCGUAGAUAUUGGGAGGAACACCAGUGGCGAAGGCGGCUCACUGGUCCGGUACUGACACUGAAGCGCGAAAGCGUGGGGAGCAAACAGG